Apteryx owenii (little spotted kiwi) is the source of this 1362-nucleotide long non-coding RNA. Lineage: Eukaryota; Metazoa; Chordata; Aves; Apterygiformes; Apterygidae. The record is from Ensembl.
GCUCACGCGGCGGCAGACGGCGUGGGUGGGGCUCCUGCCAACGGCCGCUCUGUGGGAGCGGGGGGGAGCAAGGCGCCGGCUGCGGGGAGGCCUCGGCUGCGUGCCGCUUCGCCGACCGCCCACCGGAGAGGCGGCACGCCAGGAGGAACGGCACUGCUCCGCGCCGGUUGGCGGCGGCCCGCUUAUGUGGAGGUCGGGGCUGUGCCGGGCAGGUGUGUAUGGAGGACAGCGUAAUGGCUGCUACAGUAAAAGAGUGUCUUGAGCUCCAGCUCCUGGAAGUGGAAAUGCUCUUGUCAAUGUUUCCUAAAAAAGGCGAAAUAAAUCUGUGUGAUGAGGAUGCUGUGCUUGGCAUGCAGCGCUGAGAAACUCUGAGGGAGCUCUGCCCCGGCGGCUCGAGUAUUCAGUUGCUAUUGAUGUAGGGAAGUCAAAGGUGAGAACUUCCACUUAGAUGUGUUCAUGUGUGUUGUCUUCUUUACUGCUAGUGCAGACACUUAAAAAGCAAGAUUUUUCCCCAACUCUGCUCUAGAAAAGGAAGGAAAAAAAAGUAUUUUCUGUUUGCCAUUUCAAAAGUUAAGAGUAAAAACAUCUGCUGGGUUUUAAUUAUUUAUCUGAGCCUUAACUUUCUUUGGGCAAGAAAGGCUAAUAGAAUUGCAGAUAAGAAUAGACAGUGAUGUCAGCUGACACACACAUUUCUUAAGAGCUUAGCUAGGGCUGUGUCCAUAUGAGUUGUUAGUUUACUGGUUUACAAAGAGUUGUGUAUUGUAAAGGCAAAGCUUUCCUUGUGUAAAUACAUACAUUGCACUUUAUACAGUUCUAGUAAAAUCACCCUAAUAUUUCUCUCAUCUGCCCUUUGCCAUGAAUACUUACUUUCAUUGAUGUGUAUUUGAAAAGAUGACUAAUGUAAAAAUAGUCAAAAAUGGUGGAAUACUAUUAAGAAGAGUAACACGAACAUUAAAACCAGCCUAGGAACUGGGAAACAACAUUUACAGUAUAAGAGUUCCAUUAGCUUACCUUAGUUGUCAUGCUUAACCUUUUUUUCAAUAAGUGAUGAAAAUACUUGCACAGAAAAUAGCCAUUAGUGCAGGCCUGAGUAUAAAAUAGUACAAUGAUCGGAAGUUGAAAGUAGACUCAACCUAAAAGUAUAUGCAGUUUCCUAGAAAUAGCAAUAAUUAAAUAUUGGAACAAAUUAUGGGGUAAAGAGGUAGACAUCAUUAUUUGGAAACUUAACUACAAGAUUAGGUAUAUAUCUAAAAUGUACCCAACCUUUUAAGAGAAGUUCAGUGAACUGUGUACGGAGGGCUUGUGUUGUAAGAUUUUUUUUUUUUUUUUUCCCCAUGACAGAUUUUCAAAAAACUUGGGAAG